CCUACGGGUGGCAGCAGUGAGGAAUAUUGGUCAAUGGACGCAAGUCUGAACCAGCCAUGCCGCGUGCGGGAAGACGGCUCUAUGAAUUGUAAACUGCUUUUGUACGAGGGUAAACGCAGAUACGCGUAUCUGUCUGACAGUAUCUGACGAAUAAGGAUCGGCUAACUCCGUGCCAGCAGCCGCGGUAAUACGGAGGAUUCAAGCGUUAUCCGGAUUUAUUGGGUUUAAAGGGUGCAUAGGCGGUCGGAUAAGUUAGAGGUGAAAUCCCGAGGCUCAACUUCGGAAUUGCCUCUGAUACUGGUAGGCUAGAGAGUAGUUGCGGUAGGCGGAAUGUAUGGUGUAGCGGUGAAAUGCUUAGAGAUCAGACAGAACACCGAUUGCGAAGGCAGCUUACCAAGCUACUUCUGACGUUGAGGCACGAAAGCGUGGGGAGCAAACAGGAUUAGAUACCCCAGUAGUC
Molecule: ribosomal RNA, 460 nt
Filed under: uncultured bacterium
Lineage: Bacteria
Description: partial 16S ribosomal RNA
Rfam family: Bacterial small subunit ribosomal RNA
Source: RNAcentral